UACAGAGGGCUCAAGCGUUGUUCGGAUUCAUUGGGCGUAAAGGGUGCGUAGGUGGCGGGGCAAGUCUGGUGUGAAAUCCCGGGGCUCAACCCCGGAACUGCACUGGAUACUGCCUUGCUAGAGCACUGGAGAGGGAACUGGAAUUUACGGUGUAGCAGUGAAAUGCGUAGAUAUCGUAAGGAAGACCAGUGGCGAAGGCGAGUUCCUGGACAGUUGCUGACACUGAGGCACGAAGGCUAGGGGAGCAAACGGG
This 253-nucleotide ribosomal RNA is filed under the name uncultured bacterium. RNAcentral describes it as "partial 16S ribosomal RNA". It matches the Rfam family "Bacterial small subunit ribosomal RNA", at positions 524 to 776 of the family's 1533-position model. The record is from RNAcentral.